RNAcentral lists this ribosomal RNA (2256 nucleotides) under soil metagenome. RNAcentral describes it as "bacterial LSU rRNA". It matches the Rfam family "Bacterial large subunit ribosomal RNA". The record is from RNAcentral.
CCAAGCUACUAAGGGCGUGUGGGGGAUGCCUUGGCGCCAGGAGGCGAUGAAGGGCGUGGAAGACUGCGAUAAGCCCGGGGGAUUGGUCAAACACGAGUUGAUCCCGGGAUCCCUGAAUUAUCUUUAUGUGAAUCCAAUAGCAUGAAGAAGCGAACGGGGGGAACUGAAACAUCUCAGUACCCCUAGGAAAAGAAAGCAACAGCGACUCCGUCAGUAGCGGCGAGCGAACGCGGAAUAGCCCAAACCAGAGGGACUUGUCUUUCUGGGGUUGUAGGGCCGGUGUUUAGAAAGCGAUUACCUUAACAGAAAGCUUCUGGAAAGAGCUGCCAUAGCGGGUGAUAGCCCCGUAUGUGACAAGGGAAAGCUGACGAUCCGGUACCUGAGUAGGACUCGACACGUGGAAGCGAGUCUGAAUCUGCGAGGCCCAUCUCGCAAGGCUAAGUACUCCCUGGCGACCGAUAGCGCACCAGUAGCGCGAGCGAAAGGUGGGAAGAACCCCGACAAGGGGAGGAUAGUGAACCUGAAACCACAUGCCUACAAGCGGUCAGAGCUCGUUUAGAUAGCUGUCAGCUAUCAGCUUUCAGCUCUCAGCCAGAAAUGGCCGAGGGUUGAUGCCGAUGCUGGCGAUUAGAACUCAGCAACCAUCAGCGUCAGUCAGGCAUUUGCUUGGCUGAUAGCUGAUAGCUGAUAGCUGACAGCUAUCGAAGAGUGAUGGCGUGCCUUUUGCAUAAUGAUCCGGCGACUUACCGUCAUGGGCAAGGUUAAGCGGCUUUGCCGUGCAGCCGAAGCGAAAGCGAGUCUGAUAAGGGCGUCAAGUCCAGGGCGGUAGACGCGAAACCACGUGAACUACGCAUGGUCAGGUUGAAGGAAGGGUAACACCUUCUGGAGGACCGAACUCACUAGUGUUGAAAAACUAGGGGAUGAACUGUGUGGAGGAUUGAAAGUAUCAUCAAACGUGGAGAUAGCUCGUUCUCUCCGAAAUAACUUUAGGGUUACCGUCGCCAAGUGAUUCAUGGGGGUAGAGCGACUGAAUUCGAUAGGGGGCCUACCCGGCUACCCUUCGAAACCAAACUCCGAAUACCAUGACUCAGCAACGGCAGAUAGACUGUGGGGGAUAAGCUUCAUAGUCGAGAGGGGAACAACCCAGAUCGCCUGCUAAGGUCCCCAAAAUAUGCUCAGUGCGAAAGGAAGUUGGAGUCCUGAGACAGCCAGGAUGUUGGCUUAGAAGCAGCCAUCAUUUAAAAAGUGCGUAAUAGCUUACUGGUCGAGGAUUCCUGCGCCGAUAAUGAACGGGACUUAAGCGUGUUACCGAAGCAGCGGGUUUGUUAGCAAUAACAAGCGGUAGGAGAGCGUUGCAUACGCCUGUGAAGGGGUACGGAUAACGAACCCUGGAGGUACUGCAAGUGAUCAUGCCGGAACGAGUAACGAUAAAACGGGUGAGAAUCCCGUUCGCCGAAAGCCUAAGGUUUCCUGGGGAAGGUAAAUCCGCCCAGGGUUAGUCGGAUCCUAACACGAGGCCGAAAGGCGUAGUGGAUGGACAGCAGGUUAAUAUUCCCGCACCACGGCUGAAGGUUGAUAGCAUCAGGACGCUUUCUGGAAAGUGAUCGGGGUGACAGAAUACCCCGUGCCGCAAGGCCGAGGACGUUUACGAUUCCGAAGUCAUUGGAAGGAGAGCCAAGAAAAGCCGAUGCUGGACGACAGCCGUGUCCGUACUAAAACUGACACAGGUAGGCGAGAUGAGUAUUCUUAGGCGCUCGAGAGAACGCUCGUGAAGGAACUCUGCAACAUGGCUCCGUAACUUCGGGAUAAGGAGCGCCCUUGAGGGUGUUAAAGCCUUCGGGGGCCGCAGUGAAAAGGUUCUAGCGACUGUUUACUAAAAACACAGGUCUGUGCCAACGCGUAAGCGGAAGUAUACAGACUGACGCCUGCCCGGUGCCGGUAAGUUAAGGAAGAGGGUUAGCCCCUUAAAAGGUGAAGCUCGCAACCGAAGCUCCGGUAAACGGCGGCCGUAACUAUGACGGUCCUAAGGUAGCGAAGUUCCUUGUCGGGUAAGUUCCGACCUGCAUGAAUGGCGUAACGACUGGAACACUGUCUCCACGAGCGACUCGGUGAAACUGUAGUUGUCGUGAAGAUGCGACAUACCAGAUCGGAAGAGCACACGUCUGAACUCCAGUCACUGACGAAUCUCGCAUGCCGUCUUCUGCUUGAAAAAAAAGUAGCACAGUUAGGAGAUUUUGCAUGGCCCAACUGAUGAGA